This is a long non-coding RNA of Xiphophorus couchianus (Monterrey platyfish), 1226 nucleotides long. RefSeq lists it as uncharacterized. Lineage: Eukaryota; Metazoa; Chordata; Actinopteri; Cyprinodontiformes; Poeciliidae. The record is from RefSeq and is a predicted model, not a curated record. The transcript is spliced from 3 exons.
CCCAAUUAUUGUUUUUUCUAUGGAAAAUCUUAACUAUACACAAGCUCUAAAUGAGCUUUUUAAGGAAAUGUUAUAAAUAGGAAAUAGUUAUACAUGAAAACAGAGUAAAAAGUGUACACAUUUUGAUUGAUUAAGGCUGAAGAAAUUGAACGAGAAAACAAAAGAGUUAAAUUUUCUUGUUGUGUUUUUUUCAGGUUUUGUUUUCUGGCUCACAUAAAAGAUUUUAAGCCAUAUUGAACAAUAAUGAGCCAUAUUCAAAAUGUAUACAAAAUCAAUGUUUUUUUUUUUUUCAUUUGUCAGUUUUGGUUUAUCUUCGCCUCUGGUUGGGUUGUAGGUUUUUGUGCUGGGAUUUGUCAUAGUGAUACAUAUACGAUAGCUGGGGGCUACGUGAGAGACACAUAGAUAUAUCCCUAUACAAAAACUCUGUGAGAAAACAAUGAGAUUAACUACCUUGAUUUUUGACAAAGAAAAGUAUAAUGCUUUAUUUAAAUGAAUUAAGUACUGCGUGCAACUAUUCUAAUAAGCUGAUUGACAUUUAAAAGUUAUUUUAAAACCUUUUUAAAAGUACUUUGGUGAAAUACUAUAUAAGUCUGUUUCAUUAUUGAGACUUUAUCAGUAGUCAAUUCAAAAUGUCUUUCCCAAAAUUAUAGCUAUUCAAAGAACAUCAUAGUAAAGACAUUUUUAAUAGUGUUUUUUCACAUUUUUUCAGGUUUAGAUUUUUGUUUUUUUCUGCUGCUUCAUGUUUUUGUUGAAGGAGUCAAUGGAGAUGUAGCACUGUGAUUAUGCUCUUGACUACUGGGGAGCAGGAACCAAAGUUACUGUAAAGCCAGGUGAUUCCUCUCAGACUCUGUCCCUCCUCGUCCUCCGCCCCCAGCAGACUUCUGGUGACCCCCUGAACACAGCAGACCAACUCAGUCAAGAAGUCUGUCUGGCAACAGAUUUCCGUCCAAAGGGGGUUGUGAAUGGGAAAGGGGGUCCGGCCAACGUGAGCACUGAUGACGCUGUUCUGAAAAAGAACCAAACCUACUUUGAUGAAUUCAGUAGCAAAAACAUCCACUCCUGUGGGAUGAGCGGGAACAUCAGCACCAAUGAUGAAUGUGGAGGCUUUGAUCCAGAAAAAGCCAAGCUGAACUUCUACCUGCUGCUGAUGAACGGAGUCCGAGUGGUGUUCACCAAAGCUCUGGCCUUCAGCACCGUCCUCACCAUCAGAGGCCUGCUCUUCUGAA